UACGUAGGUGGCAAGCGUUGUCCGGAUUUAUUGGGUUUAAAGGGUGCGUAGGCGGUAGAUUAAGUCAGCGGUGAAAGACGGUCGCUCAACGAUUGCAGUGCCGUUGAUACUGGUUUACUUGAGUAAAAGAGAGGUGGGCGGAACUGAUAGUGUAGCGGUGAAAUGCAUAGAUAUUAUCAAGAACGCCAAUUGCGAAGGCAGCUCACUGGCUUUUAACUGACGCUGAGGCACGAAAGUGUGGGAAUCAAACAGG
Molecule: ribosomal RNA, 253 nt
Filed under: uncultured bacterium
Lineage: Bacteria
Description: partial 16S ribosomal RNA
Rfam family: Bacterial small subunit ribosomal RNA
Source: RNAcentral